This 1227-nucleotide ribosomal RNA is filed under the name metagenome. Its description in RNAcentral is "bacterial LSU rRNA". It matches the Rfam family "Bacterial large subunit ribosomal RNA", at positions 1716 to 2925 of the family's 2925-position model. The record is from RNAcentral.
AAAAAAAUGGCACCGUAACUUCGGGAGAAGGUGCGCCGGUGAGGGUGAAGGACUUGCUCCGUAAGCCCACGCCGGUCGAAGAUACCAGGCCGCUGCGACUGUUUAUUAAAAACACAGCACUCUGCAAACACGAAAGUGGACGUAUAGGGUGUGACGCCUCCCCGGUGCCGGAAGGUUAAUUGAUGGGGUUAGCUAACGCGAAGCUCUUGAUCGAAGCCCCGGUAAACGGCGGCCGUAACGAUAACGGUCCUAAGGUAGCGAAAUUCCUUGUCGGGUAAGUUCCGACCUGCACGAAUGGCGUAACGAUGGCGGCGCUGUCUCCACCCGAGACUCAGUGAAAUUGAAAUCGCUGUGAAGAUGCAGUGUAUCCGCGGCUAGACGGAAAGACCCCGUGAACCUUUACUAUAGCUUUGCACUGGACUUUGAAUUUGCUUGUGUAGGAUAGGUGGGAGGCUUUGAAGCGUGGACGCCAGUUCGCGUGGAGCCAACCUUGAAAUACCACCCUGGUAACUUUGAGGUUCUAACUCAGGUCCGUUAUCCGGAUCGAGGACAGUGUAUGGUGGGUAGUUUGACUGGGGCGGUCUCCUCCUAAAGAGUAACGGAGGAGUACGAAGGUGCGCUCAGACCGGUCGGAAAUCGGUCGUAGAGUAUAAAGGCAAAAGCGCGCUUGACUGCGAGACAGACACGUCGAGCAGGUACGAAAGUAGGUCUUAGUGAUCCGGUGGUUCUGUAUGGAAGGGCCAUCGCUCAACGGAUAAAAGGUACUCCGGGGAUAACAGGCUGAUACCGCCCAAGAGUUCAUAUCGACGGCGGUGUUUGGCACCUCGAUGUCGGCUCAUCACAUCCUGGGGCUGAAGCCGGUCCCAAGGGUAUGGCUGUUCGCCAUUUAAAGUGGUACGCGAGCUGGGUUUAGAACGUCGUGAGACAGUUCGGUCCCUAUCUGCCGUGGACGUUUGAGAUUUGAGAGGGGCUGCUCCUAGUACGAGAGGACCGGAGUGGACGAACCUCUGGUGUUCCGGUUGUCACGCCAGUGGCAUUGCCGGGUAGCUAUGUUCGGAAUAGAUAACCGCUGAAAGCAUCUAAGCGGGAAACUAGCCUCAAGAUGAGAUCUCACUGGGACCUUGAGUCCCCUGAAGGGCCGUCGAAGACUACGACGUUGAUAGGUUGGGUGUGUAAGCGCUGUGAGGCGUUGAGCUAACCAAUACUAAUUGCCCGUGAGGCUUGACC